GGGAAGAUGGCUCAGUGGUAGAGUGCUUGCCUUGCAUGCAUGAGGCCCUGUGUUUGACUCAGUACCCC
This is a non-coding RNA of Dipodomys ordii (Ord's kangaroo rat), 68 nucleotides long. NCBI's taxonomy places the organism in Eukaryota, Metazoa, Chordata, Mammalia, Rodentia, Heteromyidae. The record is from Rfam.